UAAUACGUAGGGUGCAAGCGUUAAUCGGAAUUACUGGGCGUAAAGCGUGCGCAGGCGGUUCGGAAAGAAAGGUGUGAAAUCCCAGGGCUUAACCUUGGAACUGCACUUUUAACUACCGAGCUAGAGUAUGUCAGAGGGGGGUGGAAUUCCGCGUGUAGCAGUGAAAUGCGUAGAUAUGCGGAGGAACACCGAUGGCGAAGGCAGCCCCCUGGGAUAAUACUGACGCUCAUGCACGAAAGCGUGGGGAGCAAACAGGAUUAGAUACCCUGGUAGUCCACGCCCUAAACGAUGUCAACUAGCUGUUGGGGCCUUCGGGCCUUAGUAGCGCAGCUAACGCGUGAAGUUGACCGCCUGGGGAGUACGGUCGCAAGAUUAAAACUCAAAGGAAUUGACGGGGACCCGCACAAGCGGUGGAUGAUGUGGAUUAAUUCGAUGCAACGCGAAAAACCUUACCUACCCUUGACAUGUCUGGAAUCCCGAAGAGAUUUGGGAGUGCUCGCAAGAGAACCGGAACACA
RNAcentral lists this ribosomal RNA (517 nucleotides) under uncultured Bordetella sp. RNAcentral describes it as "bacterial SSU rRNA". It matches the Rfam family "Bacterial small subunit ribosomal RNA", at positions 521 to 1036 of the family's 1533-position model. The record is from RNAcentral. Lineage: Bacteria; Pseudomonadati; Pseudomonadota; Betaproteobacteria; Burkholderiales; Alcaligenaceae.